This 327-nucleotide ribosomal RNA is filed under the name uncultured eukaryote. RNAcentral's name for it is "partial 18S ribosomal RNA". It matches the Rfam family "Eukaryotic small subunit ribosomal RNA", at positions 1470 to 1796 of the family's 1831-position model. The record is from RNAcentral.
CCCUUAGAUGUUCUGGGCCGCACGCGCGCUACACUGACGAAUGCAACGAGCUUAUAACCUUGGCCGAAAGGUCUGGGUAAUCUCCAAAUUUCGUCGUGAUGGGGAUAGAUGAUUGCAAUUAUUCAUCUUCAACGAGGAAUUCCUAGUAAACGCAAGUCAUCAGCUUGCAUUGAUUACGUCCCUGCCCUUUGUACACACCGCCCGUCGCACCUACCGAUUGAAUGGUCCGGUGAAAUCUUCGGAUCUGAGAGAUGUCUGAUUAAUUUCGGACGCCUUUUGGAAAAGUUGUUUAAACCUUACCAUUUAGAGGAAGGUGAAGUCGUAACA